GUACCCCCUUUCACUUUGCCAAUUGGACUUGUCUUUGUUGGCCAUUCAAGUGGGGCAAAGGAAAUACCUUUAUAAAACCCAGGCAAACUUAGUGUUUGUCUUGUAGCUUGUCAAGGGAAACAUUG
This is a small nucleolar RNA of Jaculus jaculus (lesser Egyptian jerboa), 125 nucleotides long. Lineage: Eukaryota; Metazoa; Chordata; Mammalia; Rodentia; Dipodidae. The record is from Ensembl.